UAGUGCUGCAAUGUAAACAUUGCAUUUUCUCUAAAACUGCAAUGUUUUACAUUGCAGCACUA
This 62-nucleotide microRNA precursor is filed under the name Pelobates cultripes (western spadefoot toad). The record is from RNAcentral. Lineage: Eukaryota; Metazoa; Chordata; Amphibia; Anura; Pelobatidae.